Molecule: ribosomal RNA, 481 nt
Filed under: uncultured bacterium
Lineage: Bacteria
Description: partial 16S ribosomal RNA
Rfam family: Bacterial small subunit ribosomal RNA
Source: RNAcentral
GACGAACGCUGGCGGCGUGCCUAACACAUGCAAGUCGAACGGAGAUACGAUUUCGGUUGUAUCUUAGUGGCGAACGGGUGAGUAACGCGUGAGCAACCUGACUCUUAGAGGGGGAUAACACUCGGAAACGAGUGCUAAUACCGCAUAAGACCACGACAUGGCAUCAUGACGAGGUCAAAGGAGCAAUCCGCUGAGAGAGGGGCUCGCGUCCCAUUAGAUAGAUGGCGGGGUAACGGCCCACCAUGUCCGCGAUGGGUAGCCGAGCUGAGAGGCUGAUCGGCCACACUGGAACUGAGACACGGUCCAGACUCCUACGGGAGGCAGCAGUGGGGAAUAUUGGGCAAUGGGCGCAAGCCUGACCCAGCAACGCCGCGCGAGGGAAGAAGGCUUUCGGGUUGUAAACCUCUGUCCUUGGUGACGAAACAAAUGACGGUAGCCAAGGAGGAAGCCCCGGCUAACUACGUGCCAGCCGCCGCCGUAA